Molecule: long non-coding RNA, 478 nt
Organism: Drosophila willistoni
Lineage: Eukaryota; Metazoa; Arthropoda; Insecta; Diptera; Drosophilidae
Exons: 2
Source: RefSeq, a predicted model, not a curated record
AUUAAUUGUAAAAUUGCCUCAAUCGGUUACCAUUUUUUUUUUUCUGCGUGUGGCAACGUCUUGAACUUAUGUUUCAUUUCCAUUUGAUUAUUGCCAAAAUUGAUUUUGAUAUUUUGCAUCGAUAGAAAAGUUAAUCGAAACCCUCAAAAUGGAAUGCUGCAAUGAAUUGAAAAGUUUUGGUACGGCAAUAUCUUACGAGCGCAAUGAUGCAGAUUCCCCAGUUUGAUAACUAGAUGAAUAGCUAACUGGGACCAGCCUUAUGGUGCAUCAAUCACCAGCCAUUUACACUUGUUCUCUAACCCAUUUGGGCCAUUAAAUAUUGCCGAGGAUUCCGCUAACUCAAAACAAUUUGUUUGAAAAAUGUACCAAAAAUACAUAUAAGCAUGAUGUUUUUUUUUUGUUCGUUGUGUUGCUGUUGUUGUUACUGUUGUUGUUGUUGUUGUUGUUGGCAACCAAAAAGUCAAGUAAUUAAUACUGA